GGUUGCUAUGGUGUUGCUAUGCAGUUGCUAGGGUACUCGGGGUGGUUGCUAGGGUGUUGCUAUGCGGUUGCUAGGGUACUCGGGGUGGUUGCCAUGGUGUUGCUAUGCGGUUGCUAUUGUACCCAGGCUGGUUGCUAGGAUGAUGCCAGGGUGAUUUGUGUGGUUGCUAUGCAGUUGCCAUGGUGUUCUGGGUGGUUGCUAGGUUGUUUUGGGUGGUUGCUAUGAGAGUUGAUCAUAGAUAGAUAGAUGGAUAGAGUUUAUGAAUUUGAAUAAGUUGAUAGAUAGAUGAGAAGUCAUAGAUGAGAAGUCAUAGAUGAGAAUUCAUAGAUGAGAAGAGAGAUAGAUGAGAAGUGAUAGAUGAGAAGACAGAUGAGAAGAGAGA
Long non-coding RNA from Megalobrama amblycephala (Wuchang bream), 382 nucleotides. RefSeq lists it as uncharacterized. The transcript has 2 exons. The record is from RefSeq and is a predicted model, not a curated record. NCBI's taxonomy places the organism in Eukaryota, Metazoa, Chordata, Actinopteri, Cypriniformes, Xenocyprididae.